GUUGUUGACAAGAAUUUGGAAGUAUUCGGCGUUAAAAAUUUGUUCAUCUCUAGCGCAUCCGUUUUUCGUACCGGUGGUUAUGCCAAUCCGACAUUAACUAUCAUCGCGCUUUCCAUCCGCCUCGCCGAGC
RNAcentral lists this unclassified non-coding RNA (130 nucleotides) under plant metagenome. RNAcentral describes it as "partial contains 5.8S ribosomal RNA, internal transcribed spacer 2, and large subunit ribosomal RNA". The record is from RNAcentral.